UUGCAAUACGGCAGCGGCAGACGGGAGAGUAACACGUGGGAACGCGCCCUUCGGUUCGGAAUAACUCAGGGAAACUUGGGCUAAUACCGGAUACGCCCUAACGGGGAAAGAUUUAUUGCCGAAGGAACGGCCCGCGUCCGAUUAGCUUGUUGGUGAGGUAACGGCUCACCAAGGCGACGAUCGGUAGCUGGUCUGAGAGGAUGACCAGCCUCACUGGGACUGAGACACGGCCCAGACUCCUACGGGAGGCAGCAGUGGGGAAUAUUGGACAAUGGGCGCAAGCCUGAUCCAGCCAUGCCGCGUGGGUGAUGAAGGCCCUAGGG
This 323-nucleotide ribosomal RNA is filed under the name uncultured bacterium. RNAcentral's name for it is "bacterial SSU rRNA". It matches the Rfam family "Bacterial small subunit ribosomal RNA", at positions 82 to 422 of the family's 1533-position model. The record is from RNAcentral.